UGUGUGUGUGUGUGUGUGUAUAUAUAUAUAUAUAUAUUCUUUUGUCUGGUGAAAAUUUUUCCCCUAGAACCUAACUCUUCACCAUUUACAUUAAUGCUUAUGCGGAAAUUGCAUUUGCUUAACAUUAUUUCACUUAAAGUGGCAUUUUUCAGCAACAUAACUACAAUGUUAAGCAAGAAGUUACUGUAUCAGCUUUGGAGCCAUAAUGGAAUA
This is a non-coding RNA of Chelonoidis abingdonii (Abingdon island giant tortoise), 213 nucleotides long. Lineage: Eukaryota; Metazoa; Chordata; Testudines; Testudinidae. The record is from RefSeq and is a predicted model, not a curated record.